This 1319-nucleotide ribosomal RNA is filed under the name uncultured bacterium. Its description in RNAcentral is "bacterial SSU rRNA". It matches the Rfam family "Bacterial small subunit ribosomal RNA", at positions 27 to 1381 of the family's 1533-position model. The record is from RNAcentral.
GGACGAACGCUGGCGGCGUGCUUAACACAUGCAAGUUGAACGGGCGAUAUUGGAAGCUUGCUGAAGAUAUCGUUAGUAGCGGACGGGUGAGUAAUGCAUGAGGACCUGCCUGCCGGAGGGGGACAACAGUUGGAAACGGCUGCUAAUACCCCGUACGCCGAGAGGUGAAAGGAAUGGAGACAUUCCGCCGGGAGAGGGACUCAUGUCCUAUCAGCUGGUUGGUGAGGUAACGGCUCACCAAGGCGACGACGGGUAGCCGGCCUGAGAGGGCGACCGGCCACACUGGAACUGAGAGACGGUCCAGACUCCUACGGGAGGCAGCAGUGGGGAAUAUUGGGCAAUGGGGGCAACCCUGACCCAGCGACGCCGCGUGAGGGAAGAAGGCCUUCGGGUCGUAAACCGCUUUUGUACGUGAAGAAGCAGAUGACGGUAGCGUACGAAUAAGUCCCGGCUAACUACGUGCCAGCAGCCGCGGUAAUACGUAGGGGACGAGCGUUGUCCGGAAUUACUGGGCGUAAAGGGCGCGCAGGCUGCGCGUCGAGUCGGCUGUUAAAGAUCCGGGCUUAACCCGGUGAAGCGGUCGAGACCGACGAGCUGGAGUGCUGCAGAGGCAAGUGGAAUUCCCGGUGUAGCGGUGAAAUGCGUAGAUAUCGGGAAGAACACCGGUGGCGAAGGCGACUUGCUGGGCAGCAACUGACGCUGAGGCGCGAAAGCCAGGGGAGCAAACGGGAUUAGAUACCCCGGUAGUCCUGGCCGUAAACGAUGAAUGCUAGGUGUGCGUGUAGAGAUACAUACGUGCCGGAGUUAACGCGAUAAGCAUUCCGCCUGGGGAGUACGGUCGCAAGAUUGAAACUCAAAGGAAUUGACGGGGGCCCGCACAAGCGGUGGAGCACGUGGUUUAAUUCGAUGCAAACCGAAGAACCUUACCUGGGUUUGACAUGUACGUGGUACGGAUAUGAAAGUUGAAGGACGCUUCCUUCGGGAGGCGAGCGUACACAGGUGCUGCAUGGCUGUCGUCAGCUCGUGUCGUGAGAUGUUCGGUUAAGUCCGGCAACGAGCGCAACCCACACUUUCAGUUGCCAUCAUUCAGUUGGGCACUCUGGAAGAACUGCCGGUGAUAAGCCGGAGGAAGGUGUGGAUGACGUCAAGUCCUCAUGGCCCUUACGGGUUGGGCUACACACGUGCUACAAUGGUGGUGACAAUGGGUUAAUCCCCAAAAGCCAUCUCAGUUCGGAUUGGGGUCUGCAACUCGACCCCAUGAAGUCGGAAUCGCUAGUAAUCGCGUAACAGCAUGACGCGGUGAAUACGUUCCCGGGCCU